CUAGUUUCAGCCUAGAAGAAGACUGGGCUUCCCGUUACGCCAUACUCUUCUACCACGUGACCGAUGAAGGAUUUCUAACCUGCAACACAUCUCAAGGGGAUCUAAUAAAACAGAACGAGACAGAAAAUGAUGCAGUGGUGCCAGAUGAACUCUUGACCCUUGGAGCCAAUUAUUUCAUUGCUUCAUCCAACAGCACGUCACUGAAUUGCGAGUACGGUUUAAGAUUGAAAGUUAUGGUAAAAGAUCAGAGCUGUAAAUUACCAAACUCGGAAGAAAUUUGCAGCUCCAAUGGAAACUGCGUAUCGAAUUCCACUCAGUUAACCUACAUCUGCCAGUGCUGUCCUGGUUUUGAAGGGAAAUACUGCGAGACAUACAACCCAUGCUACAAUAAUCUCUGUCAAAAUGACGGAACUUGUAUUCCAGACCCACAAAAUGAAACCAACAUCACGUGUUCGUGUACGCAAGGCAAGUAU
Octopus sinensis (East Asian common octopus) is the source of this 473-nucleotide long non-coding RNA. RefSeq lists it as uncharacterized. The record is from RefSeq and is a predicted model, not a curated record. The transcript is spliced from 3 exons. Lineage: Eukaryota; Metazoa; Mollusca; Cephalopoda; Octopoda; Octopodidae.